AACGAACGCUGGCGGCAGGCCUAAAACAUGCAAGUCGAACGAACCUUCGGGUUAGUGGCGCACGGGUGAGUAACACGUGGGAAUGUACCUCUGGGUGCGGAACAACGUCGGGAAACUGACGCUAAUACCGCAUAAUGUCUACGGACCAAAGAUUUAUUGCCCAGAGAUCAGCCCGCGUCUGAUUAGCUAGUUGGUGAGGUAACGGCUCACCAAGGCGACGAUCAGUAGCUGGUCUGAGAGGAUGAUCAGCCACACUGGAACUGAGACACGGUCCAGACUCCUACGGGAGGCAGCAGUUAGGAAUAUUGGACAAUGGGGGCAACCCUGAUCCAGCCAUGCCGCGUGUGUGAAGAAGGCCUUAGGGUUGUAAAGCACUUUCGGCUGUGAAGAUAAUGACAGUAGCAGAAGAAGAAGCUCCGGCUAAAUUCGUG
Molecule: ribosomal RNA, 431 nt
Filed under: uncultured bacterium
Lineage: Bacteria
Description: bacterial SSU rRNA
Rfam family: Bacterial small subunit ribosomal RNA
Source: RNAcentral